CGUACGGUAGCUACCUUUUGCUAGAAAAAUAGCCUGAGAAACUUAGAUUAAUGUUCUAUAGUAUACAGAUCGCAUGAUUCUGUUAUUAAAAGUAGCAAUACGGCAAAAGAUGGGCGUGCGUCCGAUUAGUUAGUUGGUAAGGUAAAGGCUUACCAAGACAGUGAUCGGUAGGGGGCCUGAGAGGGUGAUCCCCCACACUGGUACUGAGACACGGACCAGACUCCUACGGGAGGCAGCAGUGAGGAAUAUUGGUCAAUGGAGGAAACUCUGAACCAGCCACGCCGCGUGCAGGAAGAAUGCCUUACGGGUUGUAAACUGCUUUUGUUUAGGAAUAAAAAAUUCUUACGUGAUAAGGAUUGUGAAUGUACUAUACGAAUAAGUGUCGGCAAACUCCGUGCCAGCAGCCGCGGUAAUACGGAGAACACGAGCGUUAUCCGGAUUUAUUGGGUUUAAAGGGUGCGUAGGCGGUUUAUUAAGUCAGUAGUGAAAUAUUGCAGCUUAACUGUUAAAAUGGCUAUUGAUACUGAUAGACUUGAGUGAGAUUGGAGUAGCUGGAAUGUGUGGUGUAGCGGUGAAAUGCAUAGAUAUCACACAGAGCACCGAUCGCGAAAGCAGGUUACUAAGUCUAUACUGACGCUGAGGCACGAAAGCGUGGGGAACAAACAGGAUUAGAUACCCUGGUAGUCCACGCCGUAAACGAUGAUCACUAGUUGUUGGAUUUAUUUCAGUGACUUAGCGAAAGUGAUAAGUGAUCCACCUGGGGAGUCCG
This 769-nucleotide ribosomal RNA is filed under the name uncultured bacterium. RNAcentral describes it as "bacterial SSU rRNA". It matches the Rfam family "Bacterial small subunit ribosomal RNA", at positions 116 to 884 of the family's 1533-position model. The record is from RNAcentral.